Molecule: long non-coding RNA, 280 nt
Filed under: Hordeum vulgare
Lineage: Eukaryota; Viridiplantae; Streptophyta; Magnoliopsida; Poales; Poaceae
Description: long non-coding RNA (HVUL_LNC005824)
Source: RNAcentral
CAAAUCGAGAGAGAGCAACAACCGAGAUCCGGUGGGCGUGGUAGGUUCCGUGUCACCGCCGCUGUAGCGAACCAUACCUUCAGCCCCACGCCCCUCAUCACCUUUGUGGAGCUCGCCGCCUACUCCUUCCUCCACGUAAUUCACCCCACCCGCAUCCUCCCCAUCCACGGUUGUCAAGUGAAUAAAGAGAGAGCAGGAUCUCUUCCCCCUCUCCUACAGCUGCUGCCACCAUGGGCGCAUCCGCACGGACGGGAGGCGACGAGGCACACCAACGGCGACG